RNAcentral lists this ribosomal RNA (523 nucleotides) under Leptobrachella shangsiensis. RNAcentral's name for it is "partial 16S ribosomal RNA". It matches the Rfam family "Bacterial large subunit ribosomal RNA", at positions 1855 to 2597 of the family's 2925-position model. The record is from RNAcentral. Lineage: Eukaryota; Metazoa; Chordata; Amphibia; Anura; Megophryidae.
ACGCCUGCCCAGUGACUAUUUGUUCAACGGCCGCGGUAUCCUGACCGUGCAAAGGUAGCGUAAUCACUUGUCUUUUAAAUAGAGACUAGUAUGAACGGCAUCACGAGAACUAAUCUGUCUCCCUCCCCCAAUCAGUGAAACUGAUCUCCCCGUGCAGAAGCGGGGAUAAUAUCAUAAGACGAGAAGACCCUGUGGAGCUUCAAAUCAAAAAUCAACUGCUUCACCUACACUUACCCGAGGUAACAUUUUUCCACAGACCUGAUUUAGAUUUUCAGCUGGGGCGCCUGUGAAGAAUAAAAAACCCUUCACGUAGAUUUAUGCUCAAAGCUACCGCCAAAGGCAUUAAUAAACUUAACUUUAAUUGACCCUUUUUGAUCAACGGACCAAGUUACCCCAGGGAUAACAGCGCAAUCCACUUUCAGAGUCCAUAUCGACAAGUGGGCUUACGACCUCGAUGUUGGAUCAGGGCAUCCGAGUGGUGCAGCCGCUACUAAAGGUUCGUUUGUUCAACGAUUAAAGCCCU